Molecule: ribosomal RNA, 517 nt
Rfam family: 5.8S ribosomal RNA (bases 156-309)
UGGCAAGCUUUCCGAAAGGAUCGAGCUUGCUGUGUGAACCCUACCUACCCUUGCUUUUUGCGUACCCAUUGUUUCCUCGGCAGGCUUGCCUGCCAGUAGGACCCUCUUAAACCCUUUGUAAUUGCAGUCAGCGUCAGAAACAACGUAAUCGUUACAACUUUCAACAACGGAUCUCUUGGUUCUGGCGUCGAUGAAGAACGCAGCGAAAUGCGAUAAGUAGUGUGAAUUGCAGAAUUCAGUGAAUCAUCGAAUCUUUGAACGCACAUUGCGCCCCUUGGUAUUCCAUGGGGCAUGCCUGUUCGAGCGUCAUUUGUACCCUCCAGCCCUGCUGGGUGUUGGGCGUUUGUUCCGCUGCGCGCGUGAACUCGCCUCAAAUGCAUUGGCAGCCCGCCGUCCCGUGUGGGAGCGCAGCACAUUUUGCGCUCUCCACUGCAGACGGUGGCAUCCACAAGUCUACAUUUUUACGCUUGACCUCGGAUCAGGUAGGGAUACCCGCUGAACUUAAGCAUAUCAAUAA